This 150-nucleotide ribosomal RNA is filed under the name Protocruzia adhaerens. Its description in RNAcentral is "Protocruzia adherens partial Bacterial large subunit ribosomal RNA". The record is from RNAcentral. Lineage: Eukaryota; Ciliophora; Spirotrichea.
GAUGCCUAUAUUGUAAAUCGUAGUGGUGUGUGAAUGAAUCUUGUUUAAUAUUUAUCAUAACCCUGUGUAACUAAACGAAGUGAAUCAUCUUAUUAGUUUAGGUAAAGAAAUCAACAGAGACGGUAUUAGUAGCGGCGAGCGAACAUUAAA